AUGGCGGAAGAGGAUUGGAUUCCAAUCGGGAUGGAACAGGAAUACUUCCCGUUCAAGCCGCAGACAGAAGAGGAACUUCUAGUCGAGAUGCAACAGGAGGAGUUCCCGUUCCAGCCGCGGACAGCAGAGGAUUUUCUGAUCGAGCUGCAACAAGCGUUCGAGCAGCGGGCAGAAGAGGAUUUUCCUAUCCUGAAGCAACAGGACGAGCGCCCAUUCGAGUUCGAGCUCAUGCCGAUGGAGGAGCUGCCGGAGCUGCUGCCGCAGGACCAGUUCGAUUCUUACAUGGAGCACAUGAUGGAGGGGCUACCCCAGGAUGUUAUCGACAGUUUGCAGCAGGAAUUCCCAGCGCUCUUCGGCCAGGUCGCGGUGGAAAUGCCCCUGUGUCAGCGGGCGGAUCCCGCGGAGGAGCCAUGCCCGCUAAUCUAG
RNAcentral lists this ribosomal RNA (426 nucleotides) under Triticum aestivum (bread wheat). Its description in RNAcentral is "partial small subunit ribosomal RNA". The record is from RNAcentral. Lineage: Eukaryota; Viridiplantae; Streptophyta; Magnoliopsida; Poales; Poaceae.